This 429-nucleotide ribosomal RNA is filed under the name Pseudomonadota bacterium. RNAcentral's name for it is "Proteobacteria bacterium partial 16S ribosomal RNA". It matches the Rfam family "Bacterial small subunit ribosomal RNA", at positions 355 to 776 of the family's 1533-position model. Lineage: Bacteria; Pseudomonadati; Pseudomonadota. The record is from RNAcentral.
UGGGGAAUAUUGGACAAUGGGCGAAAGCCUGAUCCAGCCAUGCCGCGUGUGUGAAGAAGGUCUUCGGAUUGUAAAGCACUUUAAGUUGGGAGGAAGGGCAGUAAGCGAAUACCUUGCUGUUUUGACGUUACCGACAGAAUAAGCACCGGCUAACUCUGUGCCAGCAGCCGCGGUAAUACAGAGGGUGCAAGCGUUAAUCGGAAUUACUGGGCGUAAUGCGCGCGUAGGUGGUUCGUUAAGUUGAAUGUGAAAGCCCCGGGCUCAACCUGGGAACUGCAUCCAAAACUGGCGAGCUAGAGUAGGGCAGAGGGUGGUGGAAUUUCCUGUGUAGCGGUGAAAUGCGUAGAUAUAGGAAGGAACACCAGUGGCGAAGGCGACCACCUGGGCUCAUACUGACACUGAGGUGCGAAAGCGUGGGGAGCAAACAGG